CUUUUCUUGGGUGUGAAUCUGUCUUCUUAGUUUACUCCUCUACGAGAGCUUAAUUUCCCGACUCUGCACCCCCCACUACUGUUUAUAUGUGCACGUAUUUAACGAAUGGCGGGAAGUUUGAAAAUGGCCAUGACCAACCAGCUAGAGCAAUCUAACCUUACACUUACAUUUAUAAAAGUGUUUUGUUAUUGUUUUUGUAUAAGUGAACUAUUUUAAUUUUGUCAAAUUUACGUUUUAUAUUAGUAAAAUGUAUCCUUAGAAUUUGAGGAACAAUUUAGUGAUGAUGAAAGAAUAAUAUAUUUUUUAAAUAACGCUUGAACCUGUACCAUACAAGAACGAAAAAAGUUAUGAAAGAAUUUGAUGAUAACAAAUUUUUAUUAAUGUUUAUAGUUUCCAUAAAAAUACUGUGAGAUAAUUUAUACAAGAGCUGGUCCCUGGUUUCCAUUAUGUAAUUCUUUAGUAGGUAUGAUGAGCCUAAUAUCACAGAUCAAGUUUUAAUAACAUUAAAAACUUAUAUUAUGAGUUGUUUUUAUUUAUUGUAUGGUUUUGGUGGUAUACCUAUACAAAACAACUACUGAAAGAUUUAUAAAACCCAUGAAGUACUGGCAGAUAACAUAGUUGUUGAUAUUGAUAGAGAAUAUGUUAACACAGAAGAUAUUCCAUUUAUGAGUACUAAUCUAUAAACAUGUUAUAAAAUACUAUAAAAUUUAACAUUUAUAAUAAAUAUUUAAACCUUUGUUUUAUUGUAUUUAGUUUAUAUUCUUAAUAUACACUUUAUGUUGAA
Diabrotica virgifera virgifera (western corn rootworm) is the source of this 784-nucleotide long non-coding RNA. RefSeq lists it as uncharacterized. The record is from RefSeq and is a predicted model, not a curated record. The transcript has 2 exons. Lineage: Eukaryota; Metazoa; Arthropoda; Insecta; Coleoptera; Chrysomelidae.